This 462-nucleotide ribosomal RNA is filed under the name Triticum aestivum (bread wheat). Its description in RNAcentral is "partial small subunit ribosomal RNA". The record is from RNAcentral. Lineage: Eukaryota; Viridiplantae; Streptophyta; Magnoliopsida; Poales; Poaceae.
AUGGGGGGGCGUCGCCGCCGCAACAGCAGGCGGGAGCACGCGAGCGCGCCGGAGGCCGGUGGUGACCGCGCUCUCCUCGAGAGGGAGGCGUCGGAGGGGGGAGAGAUCCUGAGGAGGAAAAAGGAGAUGAUGGAGGCGAUGGCGGCCACGGAUCUUUCACCGGGCACGAAGCCCGCGACGGAGCCGGCCGGAGCCGGGAAGAAGAAAAGGAAGAAGAUGGUGAAGACGAGGCUACCGCAGGCGCUCAUCAAGCAAAUGAUGGCGAGCCCCUACAGGCCCAUGCCCAUCCCCGACGACGAGCUGGCCAAGCGUCCCAGGUACUACCGCGAGUUCUACGCCACAGCCAUGGAUCGAGCCGACAAGGUCGCGGCCUACCAGCGGGCCCUCGUCAACCAGUACGUGGCCAGGGGCUACGCCGAGGACGAAGAGGAGGUCACCGACGACGAGUCGGAGGAGAACUAG